GAAGAGAUUAAAGCAUGUCUACGCUGUCAUCAGCUCCGCGCAUCUUUUUCCAACUCCCCAAACCCUGUGGUCCGGUCCGCAGCUGUUCCCCUUCUGCAUACACCUGGCUUAGUCAGGCAGGAUUCCAAAGUGAGGGGACCCACAGCUCCUGAGACUGACGGGACGGACACGUGGCCACCCACUUGUAUGUGGUUCCCGGUGGCGGAUGUCCUGUUGAAUUGGGCCCCUGCGGAAGGGAGGGAGCCGUGGAUGGUACCCCCGUCAGCAUCCAGCCGGCUCUGCAUAGCCUUGGGGAGCAGGUGCUGGGACGGCUGGGUGGGCUGUUUUGGACAGCCCUACGUCGCAACACGGAGUCUGCCCUGCGGGAUGCGGACCGCAUACUGGAGCUGCGAGCCAAGGAGGCCGCCGUGGAAGCGCGGGUGCCGCAGUUAGCACAGGAGUUGGAAAUGGCGCCUCGCAGCCGGACGGCGGAGGACGCUCAGGACAGGACGUGGAGGAAGCACGCCCUCUCCAUGCUCAGGCAGUAAUCUAGCAAAAGGUAAAGCACGAGCAGCCCCUGGGCCCAGGAGGUGUCGCGCAAGGAGCCCCAGUCGUGACAAAGUUCACGGCGUAUACCUUAUACGCCAACGGACCUGCGGGACUAGUACCGGCCUGGCUCCUGCGGCUAUGGGAUGAGGGGGCGGAUGGUGUCAUCUGUGCCCCAGAUGAGAUGGAGAAGCUGUCCUCCAUCACGUUGCAUCCUUCCCUUCGGCAGCAGCUACAGAUUAGCCGCCGGCUAGCCUAAGGGCAGGGGAAUCGCUCCAAGAUGGAGUGGGUGACGGCUGUCGCCUGGACAGGUGUGGCAUAACGCCUGGGAGCUUCCAGAGACUGUAAGUUGGUGGCAGACCUAUGGGAACUGGUCCAAGUUAUCCGCGAAUUGGGAAUGCGGCCCCGUCUAAUUCUUUUGGGUCCUUGGUGACGAUUUUGGCACCUUAUGUGGGGUGCCGGAUACAUGAAAUAACUACUGUCAUGGCCACUUUGGGGAACGCAGAAGGCCGGAGGAGGGAAAGAACCCUGCGUGUCGCACGGCAGAUGGCGCCCAAGCCUAAGCGAGUCACCCACAUGCAGAUGUGGAUAGAUCUGCUAGCCGCAGGCACCGGUCAGGCGAUAACAGACCGCAAACGAAGGCUGUCUUGGUGGUGCUGUGGCGCCAGUUGAAGUCUGAGCAACAGUCCCAAAAGAUGGCAGGAGUGAGGAAGAGUCCUGGCAAGAGUCGCCAGGUAAGGCUCCAGGACUUCAUGCAGUCCUCAGGAGGAGAGCCUGCGGACCUCUUUGACUAGGGGGAAGGCCCAGGUGCCCGGCUUGGGGGGAUCCCCGGAGGACUGGAGGCCAUUUGUGGAACUUGAGAUUUACUGGUCCCCCAACAAUGUACAGCGUCUGCUGACAUUUGUAAACACUGGAGCCAAUUGCAGUUUGAUUACGGCAACCCGGAGAAGUUUCCAGGGAAGCCGGCAUAUAUUGAUGGAUACGGGGGCCAUAUGGUGAAGGUGAAACUGGUGUCCUUGCCCCUUGGUGUUUGUCGCCUGCUGCCCCGGGUGUAUACAGCGUAUGUGUCCUCUAUCCCCAAGUAUGUUCUGGGGGUGGAUGUCUUGCAAGGACUGCACCUACAGGCCACAAUAAGCGAAUUCCGGUUGCGCGUGGUUAAGACUGUUGUCUGGGGCAUACGCACCAUCCGCCACAAGUGUUGCUGGUGCCGUGGGGUGUGGUGGCCAGCCGACAGUAUCGCCUUCCAGGUGGACAUGAGGAGAUCACACAGACCAUUGACAAACUAGAAGAGGCUGGGGUCGUGCGACCCACCCACAGUCCCUGUAACUCUCUGAUUUGGCCCGUGAGGAAGCCCCGCAUAUGACUGUGGACUGUGGUGGCAGACCUAUGGGAACUGGUUAUCUGCGAAUUGUUAUCCGCGAAUUGGGAAUGCGGCCCCGUCUAAUUCUUUUGGGUCCUUGGUGACGAUUUUGGCACCUUAUGUGGGGUGCCGGAUACAUGAAAUAACUAGGUGACUCCUGCGUUGCAUGUUGCUUGUGCCCUCCGUGAGUGAUAUAAUGGAUCAACUGACAGUCCGGCUGGGAUAGUACCACUGUGCUGUGGACCUUGCUAUUGCCUUCUUUUCUAUUGACAUUGCCACCGAGAGCCAAGAACAGUUUGCUUUCACCUGGGAUGGCAGACAAUGGACUUUCUGUGUGUUGCUGCAAGGAUACCUGCACAGCCCCGCUAUUUGUCGUGGGCUCAUUGCUCCGGACUUGGCUGCCUGAGCUCACAGUGAUGCAGAGCUUGUGUUUCAUUACAUUGACGAUGUUAUGUUAACCUCUGACUCUCUUGCAGAUCUAGAGCAGGCUGUUGACUCCCUGUGGAGACAUCUGGCAACAUGUGGUUGGACCAUCAACGAUGCCAAAGUCCAGGGACUUGGCUUAUCUGUCAAGUUCUUGGGGAUUGUCUGGUCAGGACCCUUGAGAGAACACAGCACACCAGGGAGACCACAGCGAUACUAUGAGGAGGAUAAAAUAUCAAGAGACUGAAGUACGCUCCUUAGCCAGGUCCUCCAUGAUCCAGACCGGUUGGUAUCAAAUAAAUUAAAGAAUCUACCUGAAGAGGCAUCAGCCUGUUUUUGCCAGGUGGCUUGUUUGUUAGUUUCUUCUAUCUAGUGUAGCACCAGAGGGGUUGAUCUAGGUACAGCAAGAGCUGUAUGCUCUGGCACAGACUCCUCUUUGUUUAGCCAAUAAGUAAGCGAAAGCAAUUCUAUUAUCUGAAACCACCUUAGCAAGAAAGUCUAAGGACUUUUGCUGUGCAGUUAUGGCCUUGGUGGUAAAUUCAGUGAUAGCUGCCAGAGUUAAGAAGCAUCGUUUCCUCAUGCACUAACAAAGAGAAAAAGCAAGUAGCAAGAGGGCAAAAGGAGUAAGAGUUUCAUACUGGAGGUGAAGGUCCUGAUCCGUGAUCUUGGGAGAGCUGUCCACCUCAAGAUGUCGUCAGCUUCUGGGGAGGAACCUCUCUAGUCGAUUUUAAUUUUAGAUCUCCAGCUGCUAUGCAGUUCCAAGAGGCUGCAGGAACCCUUUUUAACUGUGAGAUGUGGCCUCAAGUUUCAAGGCCCUGAAGUUUGGCUAUUAUCUGGGUAGUGAGGAGGACCUGAUAUGGUCUCUUUCAGUGAGGUUCAAGGGCAGUCUUUCUUCUUUGUGAUUCCACGUCAGAAGAGUGGGAGAAAGUUGGAAACGUGAGUUUGGAGAGUUGUAGCUAGAUCUUUAGGGAAGCCAGAAAAAUUCAGGAUCUAGUCGAGUUUACAGGUGUAUAACAAAACCUCAAAGACAAUGAACAGAACUAGAAUCUGAUAUUCACAAGAGUGUGUUACAGUUUUUUACUAAAACAUAAUUUUUCUCUUUAUAAUCACCCCUAUUUUUAGCAAAGAUAACCAUAGUAAGACUAAUUUGUUUGCAAAAUAAGUCUAGUCUUAUUAAACGCAGCCUGAUUAUUCACAUAAGUGCAACAAAAAUAGUGACUGAGCCAGCCCUGAUGGCCUAGCAGUUACAAGUUCUGUGUGCUUUGCUUUGGCAGCCCAGGUUGGGUUCCCAGGCAUGGAACCACACCACUCAGCUGUCAGUACCAUGCUGUGGCAGUGGCUCACAUAGAAGAACCAGAAGAAGUUACAACUAUACACAACUGUGAACUGGGGCUUUGGAGGGGGUAAAAAAAAAAAAACAAAAAAACAAGGAGGAAGACUGGCAACAGUUGUUAGCUUAGGACAAAACAAGAAGAGUGAUUGACCACAUAGGCCCUUUUUUUUUUUUUUGAGGAAGAUUGGCCCUGAGCUAACAUCUGCACCAGUCUUUCUUUAUUUUAUGUGGGAUGCCGCCAUAGCAUAGUUUGACUAGUGGUGCUAGGUCCAUGCCUGGGAUCUGAACCUGCAAACCCCAGGCCACUGAGGUGGAGUGCGUGAACUUAACCGCUACGCCACUGGGCCGGCCCCCACACAGUCUUUUUAAAAGUCUGCCUUGCUGCCUCUUGAAGCCAGGAAGUGAAACCAAGGACUUGCCAGACAUUUCCUGGAAUACCUAUAUAUUUGGGUGAAUUUUUAUUUUCUUGAGGUCCCUCAAAUAUUCUCAUGUUCCCCAGGCUACCAGGAAGUGACCUUUCUUACUCAACCGGUAAGGCUAGGAACCCUGUAGGUAACACAACAGGAGGUUUUUCCAAGGAGCUUUAUUAUCUCCAUAUUAGCUCCAUCGACUAACCUUGGUUUCUGAAAACUGGUCAUAUCUGAUUUUAUGCACAUCAUUUUUAAAUGUGACAUUUCAGUCAAAGCCUUGGUAAUAUAACCAAUGUUUCCAAUUGUAUUCUGUUACAAGGAGAAUAGAUUUUAUUGUAUCUAUGCAAAUAACUAUAUUGCCAUGAAAAUAAAAAUACUUAAUAAGAAUUUCAGGGGUCGGCCCCGUGGCCGAGUGGUUAAGUUCGCUCGCUCUGCUUCAGCAGCCCAGGGUUUCCCCGGUUUGGAUCCUGGGCACAGACAUAGCACUGCUCAUCAAGCCAUGUUGAGGCGGCAUCCCAUAUGCCACAACUAGAAGGACCCACAACUAAAAAUUUGCAACCAUGUAACAGGGGGCUUUGGGGGGAAAAAGGAAAAAUAAAAUCUUUAAAAAAAAAAAUCAAAAAAUAAUAAAACAAUUUCAUAAUUCUGGAGGGAUCAGGUAAGGAGAAAAAGAUAAAUGUUUUAAUUCUGUUUACAAAGGUAUAAUUUACCAAAUUGCUGUGAGUUAUAGAUAACAAGAGAAAAAGAUUUCCUUAAAUCUGGAAAACAAAAGAUCAAAGAACCAGCAAUGUUUCAAACAAAAAGUCAUAAAAAUUAUAACUAUCCUUAUCAGUUCAUUUAAUCCCAUGUUAUUAAUUCCUGUUCUCCUUGAAUCCAAUUUUUUCAUCAGAGUUCUGGAAAUUCCUACUCAGUUUAGUGGUACAAUCUUAAAAAGUUAUCAGGAACCUGUAUUCUACAGUACUUGUCAGAGUCUUCAUUAUAAAUCUCUCUGAAGAUGGAGCACUUUUACAGAAGCAUCAGAGUAAAACAAUAACUGUCUAUAAAUGACAAAAAAAGACUUUAAAAUGGCCAUCGUUAAAGAUCGGAUGAGGGGCUGGCUCUGUGGCCAAGUGGUUAAGUUCCGGCACUCCACUUCAGUGGCCCGGGGUUCGCUGGUUCGGAGCCCAGGUGCAGACCUACACGCCCUCAUCAAGCCAUGCUGUGGCAGCCUCCCACAUGGAGGAAAGAGAGUGACCUGCAACUAGGAUAUACAGCUAUGCACUGGGGCUUUGGGGAGAAAAAAAAAGGGAGAUUGGCAACAGCUGUUAGCUCAGGACCAAAGUUCCUCAUCAAAAAAAAAAUACAUCGGAUGAGUUCAUUUGAUAAGGAAAUUUAGUUAUUUCGGUGUCAUACAACAAUUUAAGAUAAUAAUUGAACAAUGAAGGUAUUGACAAAUUUCUGUGAACUUCAAAUCAUUCUUGGAAUGCCUAUAUUAGUAAUAUAUAUCUAUACACAUGUAACCUAAGAAGGUUUAUUAUCACUUUUUAUUUGACAAUGCUUCUUGUGUAAUUUAACAUGCAAAAAAACCUAAUUAGUUUAAUAUCUUUCUUUCACAAGGUAAGAGACAAAUGUUUUGAGCUUUUUCCAGGGGCCCUUUGGGAAAUCUCAAAGUUAAUCUGAGAUCAAAAAGACUCCAUUUAAGGGCCAGCCUGGUGGCACAGUGGUUGGGUUCACGCAUUCCGCUUCAGCAGCCCAGGGUUCGCCGGUUCAGAUCCCAGGCAUGGACCCACACGCUGCCUAUCAAGCCAUGCUGUGGUAGGCGUCCUACAUGUAAACUAGAGGAAGAUGAGCACAGAUGUUAGCUCAGGGCCAGUCUUCCUCAGCAAAAAGAGGAGGAUUGGCAGCAGAUGUUAGCUCAGGGCUGAUCUUCCUCAAAAAAAAAAAAAGACUCCAUUUAAAAUUUGAUUUGGGGAAGUUGUCAAAAAUGUUAAAAGUUUUGAACAUUAAAUUAAAUAAAUUAUGUAUUUAUGUAUACAUAUAUAAUAUUUUAAUAUAAAUAUAUAAUAGAUAAAUUGUGUAUAUGUAUAUAUAAUAUAUAACUAAUAAAAACAAAGUUCCAUAGCUUGAUCCAACUGGAAAUCC
This 6172-nucleotide long non-coding RNA is filed under the name Equus caballus (horse). Its description in RNAcentral is "lncRNA (ENSECAG00000060083.1)". The record is from RNAcentral. Lineage: Eukaryota; Metazoa; Chordata; Mammalia; Perissodactyla; Equidae.